CACGUAGUUAGCCGUGGCUUUCUGGUUAGGUACCGUCAAGGUACCGCCCUGUUCGAACGGUACUUGUUCUUCCCUAACAACAGAACUUUACGACCCGAAGGCCUUCUUCGUUCACGCGGCGUUGCUCCGUCAGACUUUCGUCCAUUGCGGAAGAUUCCCUA
RNAcentral lists this ribosomal RNA (161 nucleotides) under uncultured bacterium. RNAcentral's name for it is "partial 16S ribosomal RNA". The record is from RNAcentral.